GGAGGUUACUGCUAUCGGUGUUCGCCUAACCCAUGCGAGUCAUAUGUUCUUCGUGAACAUGGCGUACUGCUCAUUAACACGUGAAUAACCUGCCCUUGGGACCGGCAUAACCCCGGGAAACUGGGGAUAAUUCCGGAUACCGCAUAUAUGCUGGAAUGCUUUAUGCGUGAAAUGGAUUCGUCUGCCCAAGGAUGGGUCUGCGGCCUAUCAGGUAGUAGUGGGUGUAAUGUACCUACUACCCUACAACGGGUACGGGUUGUGAAAGCAAAAGCCCGGAAAUGGAUUCUGAAACAUGAAUCCAGGCCCUACGGGGCGCAGCGGGCGCGAAAACUUUACAAUGCGGGAAACCGUGAUAAGGGGACACCGAGUGCCAGCAACAUUUGUUGGCUGUCCAGGUGUGUAAACUACACCUGUUAGCAAGGGCCGGGCAAAACCGGUGCCAGCAC
RNAcentral lists this ribosomal RNA (446 nucleotides) under uncultured archaeon. Its description in RNAcentral is "bacterial SSU rRNA". It matches the Rfam family "Archaeal small subunit ribosomal RNA", at positions 19 to 464 of the family's 1478-position model. The record is from RNAcentral.